This 30-nucleotide non-coding RNA is filed under the name Mus musculus (house mouse). Lineage: Eukaryota; Metazoa; Chordata; Mammalia; Rodentia; Muridae. The record is from RNAcentral.
UGAGUGAGUCCAGUAAGUGUUCAGAACCUA